RNAcentral lists this long non-coding RNA (320 nucleotides) under Mytilus galloprovincialis (Mediterranean mussel). The record is from RNAcentral. Lineage: Eukaryota; Metazoa; Mollusca; Bivalvia; Mytilida; Mytilidae.
GUUCCUUACGUCGUAACUACAAUCCCCUUCCCUUUCAUGAAUGUGACCUACCGAAUUAGACUAUUUACCGGAUUUGUUAUCACAUAAGCAACACGACGGGUGCCACAUGUGGAGCAGGAUCUGCUUACCCUUCCGGAGCACCUGAGAUCACCCCUAGUUUUUGGUUGGGUUCGUGUUGUUUAUUCUUUAGUUUUCUAUGUUGUGUCAUGUGUACUAUUGUUUUUCUGUUUGUCUUUUUCAUUUUUAGCCAUGACGUUGUCAGUUUGUUUUAGAUUUAUGAGUUUGACUGUCCCUUUGGUAUCUUUCGUCCCUCUUUUAUG